Molecule: ribosomal RNA, 365 nt
Filed under: Citrobacter sp. T40
Lineage: Bacteria; Pseudomonadati; Pseudomonadota; Gammaproteobacteria; Enterobacterales; Enterobacteriaceae
Description: bacterial SSU rRNA
Rfam family: Bacterial small subunit ribosomal RNA
Source: RNAcentral
GGACGGGUGAGUAAUGUCUGGGAAACUGCCCGAUGGAGGGGGAUAACUACUGGAAACGGUAGCUAAUACCGCAUAACGUCGCAAGACCAAAGAGGGGGACCUUCGGGCCUCUUGCCAUCGGAUGUGCCCAGAUGGGAUUAGCUAGUAGGUGGGGUAACGGCUCACCUAGGCGACGAUCCCUAGCUGGUCUGAGAGGAUGACCAGCCACACUGGAACUGAGACACGGUCCAGACUCCUACGGGAGGCAGCAGUGGGGAAUAUUGCACAAUGGGCGCAAGCCUGAUGCAGCCAUGCCGCGUGUAUGAAGAAGGCCUUCGGGUUGUAAAGUACUUUCAGCGAGGAGGAAGGUGUUGUGGUUAAUAACC